This 217-nucleotide long non-coding RNA is filed under the name Lathyrus oleraceus (garden pea). Its description in RNAcentral is "Pisum sativum (pea) long non-coding RNA (PSAT_LNC013482)". Lineage: Eukaryota; Viridiplantae; Streptophyta; Magnoliopsida; Fabales; Fabaceae. The record is from RNAcentral.
ACAGUGUAAGAAGAUCGAGCCGUGGAUAAACUUCUGAGACCAAGAUGCAAUAAAGGAAAACCGUCAUACAAAUGAGUUCAAGGAGAAGGGCCUUAGCCCACAUUACAUAAAAAUAGAAUCUCCACAACAAUCCUGUGGAUCAUCACUACAAAGCAGCAAAGAAACACAGCAAGUAAAAAGAGGAACAAAAAUCAGGAAUCAUCCUCCUGUAUACAAC